CACGUAGGGGGCGAGCGUUGUCCGGAUUUAUUGGGCGUAAAGAGCUCGUAGGCGGCUCAGUAAGUCAGGUGUGAAAACUCCAGGCUCAACCUGGAGACGCCACCUGAUACUGCUGUGGCUAGAGUCCGGUAGGGGAGCAUGGAAUUCCUGGUGUAGCGGUGAAAUGCGCAGAUAUCGGGAAGAACACCCGUGGCGAAGGCGGUUCUCUGGGACGGUACUGACGCUGAGACGCGAAAGCGUGGGGAGCGAACAGG
This 254-nucleotide ribosomal RNA is filed under the name uncultured bacterium. Its description in RNAcentral is "partial 16S ribosomal RNA". It matches the Rfam family "Bacterial small subunit ribosomal RNA", at positions 524 to 776 of the family's 1533-position model. The record is from RNAcentral.